This 253-nucleotide ribosomal RNA is filed under the name uncultured bacterium. Its description in RNAcentral is "partial 16S ribosomal RNA". It matches the Rfam family "Bacterial small subunit ribosomal RNA", at positions 524 to 776 of the family's 1533-position model. The record is from RNAcentral.
UACGUAGGGGGCUAGCGUUGUCCGGAUUUAUUGGGCGUAAAGAGCGUGUAGGCGGCCAGGUAGGUCUGGUGUGAAAACUCGAGGCUUAACCUCGAGAUGUCAUCGGAAACCAUCUGGCUAGAGUCCGGAAGAGGAGAGUGGAAUUCCUGGUGUAGCGGUGAAAUGCGCAGAUAUCGGGAAGAACACCCGUGGCGAAGGCAGGUCUCUGGGCCGAUACUGACGCUGAGGAGCGAAAGCGUGGGGAGCGAACAGG